RNAcentral lists this ribosomal RNA (308 nucleotides) under uncultured bacterium. Its description in RNAcentral is "partial 16S ribosomal RNA". It matches the Rfam family "Bacterial small subunit ribosomal RNA", at positions 505 to 807 of the family's 1533-position model. The record is from RNAcentral.
GAGACAGCAGUAGCCGCGGGAAUACGUAGGGUGCGAGCGUUAAUCGGAAUUACUGGGCGUAAAGCGUGCGCAGGCGGUUGUGUAAGACAGGUGUGAAAUCCCCGGGCUUAACCUGGGAACUGCGCUUGUGACUGCACAGCUAGAGUAUGGCAGAGGGGGGUGGAAUUCCACGUGUAGCAGUGAAAUGCGUAGAGAUGUGGAGGAACACCGAUGGCGAAGGCAGCCCCCUGGGCCAAUACUGACGCACAUGCACGAAAGCGUGGGGAGCAAACAGGAUUAGAUACCCGCGUAGUCCCUGUCUCUUAUAC